RNAcentral lists this unclassified non-coding RNA (205 nucleotides) under Hevea brasiliensis (rubber tree). The record is from RNAcentral. Lineage: Eukaryota; Viridiplantae; Streptophyta; Magnoliopsida; Malpighiales; Euphorbiaceae.
UUUUUUUUUACCAACUUUACUUUUAAAAUCUUAAUGUGUUUUAACCAACAACCUUCCCUUGGGUAAGGGAAGAAAAUCUCAUUAACUGUUCUUUUAAUUAUUAUUUGUACUUUUUUACAUUUCCUGUAAAUUCAUUGUGGCUAAACUUUGGGAGUUUUAGCCUCUUUUAGUAAAGAAUAGGAGGGUUAGUGUUUGUUUUUUUUUU